CAGAUAUUGGUCAGCCGGGACGCCGGUCAGAAAGAGUCCCCACCCUCCUGUGUAGGUUGACCCACAAUUAUUCACCUGGCUGUUCUGGCUGACAGGAUUUCGUGGUUGUCUCCAUCUGGAGGCGACGUGACGCCCUUCCUGGGAGCACAUAUCCAGUGUCCUCUGGGGAGUAGAGGAGCCAACUUCAGGACUGAUCAAUCAUGACUUCUAUAAAGGAGCAGGCAGCAAUUAGCCGCCUCUUGAGUUUUUUACAGAAUUGGGACAAUGCUGGCAAAGUCACCAGGAGUCACAUCCUCAGCAAUUUCAUUGAGACCAACCAAGGCAAGACUGCCCCUGAGCUGGAGCAGGAGUUUUCCCAGGGAGCCAGCUUGUUCCUGGUACGCUUGACCACCUGGCUUAGACUCACCUAUAUGACUGGCUUGUGUUUAGAGAAGCUUCUAAAGUCCAUUGGCAUCUUCUUAUCAGCUGUAAGCAGCAAUCGGUACCUUAUAGAAUUUCUUGAGGUUGGAGGAGUCCUAACGCUCUUGGAAAUACUUGGGCUGGAGAAGAUCAAGGAAGAAGACAAGAAGGAAUCCAUCAAGCUUCUUCAGGUCAUUGCAAACUCUGGCAGGAAGUACAAGGAGCUCAUUUGUGAAAGUUAUGGUGUACGAUCCAUAGCAGAAUUUUUGGCAAAGUCUAAGUCAGAAGAGACCCAGGAGGAAGUGCAGGUUCUGUUGGAUUCUUUGGUCCACGGUAAUCCCAAGUACCAGAAUCAAGUGUACAAAGGUCUAAUAGCUUUGCUGCCCUCUGCGUCGCCAAAAGCUCAGCAGCUGUCCCUGCAGACACUCAGGACUGCCCAGUCGAUCGUUGGAACCACACACCCCAGCAUCGUGGGCUGCGUGCUGGAUGUGCUGCGCACGAUGCACCUGGAAGUCCAGUAUGAAGCCAUCGAGCUGAUCAAGGACCUGGUCAACUACGACGUGUGCACAGCGCUGCUCAAGGGCCUCGUGGACCUGCUGAUACCGUCUGUCAUGGAGACCAGCAAACUGCAGCCCAAGAUCCUCAAUGACUCCACAGUCUUCCAGCUUACCGCCCACCUGCCUGUGUUUCUACAGCAGGCCGCGGCCGCCAAGGCCAUCAGGGUCCUGGCGCGCAGCAACACUACUCUAGCGGAGCAGAUGCUACACCUGCGUGUGGUGCACAGCCUGAUGGCCGCCAUGGGCAACACGGACCACAGCAACAGCCAGCGGCAGGCUACCCUCACGCUGGAGUACUUUGUGCAGAUGUUCCCAGUGGUGGAGGAGCAUGUGCGCAAGUCCAUGGGAGAGGAACUCUACAAACUCUUCCUCGUAAGUGCUCCCAACCCUCCCCGCCACAGAGAGCAGCUGGCCCGGCAGAAUGGUGUCUCCUCCACACCGUCGUCCCCCCCCCCACACACACACACACCCCCCACACACAUUGGGCCAUGGCCAGCCACAGGAGGAUCUGUUCUGGCUUGGGCUCCUCCACCCAGCAUCUUUUGGUUCCCUUUCCUGCUCCCUCCUACAACAUCCCUCUACUCAAGCCCAACUCUUAAGUCCAGACUGCUCCAGCACCUCAGCCGGCUUUCCCUUGUUCCUGUCCUCAGAGCAACGCCGAGGACUUGUACAUGAAAAUAGAUAGCAUUCAGGCAGACAUCUUGGCAGCCAACGAAGUCAAUGUUACCAGAGCAUUAAACGUCAGUGGCCUCUCUAACAGCAACAUGAGCUUUUACCUUGGCCCUCAUGAUCAGGAGCAGCUGGCCUACAUCACACACACCCAGG
Molecule: RNA transcript, 1781 nt
Organism: Hipposideros armiger (great roundleaf bat)
Lineage: Eukaryota; Metazoa; Chordata; Mammalia; Chiroptera; Hipposideridae
Gene: ARMH1
Gene name: armadillo like helical domain containing 1
Exons: 12
Source: RefSeq, a predicted model, not a curated record